This 292-nucleotide long non-coding RNA is filed under the name Carica papaya (papaya). RNAcentral's name for it is "long non-coding RNA (CPAP_LNC009636)". Lineage: Eukaryota; Viridiplantae; Streptophyta; Magnoliopsida; Brassicales; Caricaceae. The record is from RNAcentral.
CUGUGAUAACGUGAUGAUGAUAAUGUGUUGCUUGUGUAUUGUUUUAUGGAUCUCACUAGGUAAAUGGAAAGUAAACGUUUUUAUGAACAAAUGGGUUUAUUAGAAAUUAUACUCAAUUGGUCGUUUUUAUUUUCUACCCACCCUUACUCCUGUGGCAGUGAGGUAGAGUGAUAUCUUUACUGGGCUAGUGUAGCUCACUCCUUACUUAACCAUUUCAGAUCAGGAAGACGUGGUUCCCGAGCCCGUUCCGCAGGAAGACGGUGAAGGGGACGCCUGAAGACUCCGUAGUUAU